Molecule: ribosomal RNA, 465 nt
Filed under: uncultured bacterium
Lineage: Bacteria
Description: partial 16S ribosomal RNA
Rfam family: Bacterial small subunit ribosomal RNA
Source: RNAcentral
GACGAACGCUGGCGGCGUGCCUAACACAUGCAAGUCGUACGGUAAGGUCCUUUCGGGGGUACACGAGUGGCGUACGGGGGAGUAACACGCGAGUAACCUGCCCACAACUUUGGGAUAACGCUAGGAAACUGGUGCUAAUACUGGAUAUGUGCCCCUGCUGCCUGGUGGGGGGUGGAAAGCUCCGGCGGUUGUGGAUGGACUCGCGGCCUAUCAGCUUGUUGGUGGGGUAGUGGCCUACCAAGGCGGCGACGGGUAGCUGGCCUGAGAGGGUGACCGGCCACAUUGAGACUGAGAUACGGCCCAGACUCCGACGGGAGGCAGCAGUGGGGAAGAUUGAUCCAGGGGCGCAGGCCUGAUGCAGCAACGCCGCGGGCGGGAUGACGGCCUUCGGGUUGUGGACGGCUUUCAGCAGGGACGAGGCUUUUUGUGACGGUACCUGCAGAAGAAGCACCGGCUAACUACGUG